UUCAGAGCCCUCCUACAAUGUGA
Molecule: microRNA, 23 nt
Filed under: Canis lupus familiaris (dog)
Lineage: Eukaryota; Metazoa; Chordata; Mammalia; Carnivora; Canidae
Description: Cfa-Novel-13_5p (mature (guide))
Source: RNAcentral